Echinops telfairi (small Madagascar hedgehog) is the source of this 286-nucleotide long non-coding RNA. RefSeq lists it as uncharacterized. The record is from RefSeq and is a predicted model, not a curated record. NCBI's taxonomy places the organism in Eukaryota, Metazoa, Chordata, Mammalia, Afrosoricida, Tenrecidae. The transcript has 2 exons.
UUGCCGGGCCUCUUUUGCUGCUUGGAACCUGACCCUUGUGGUGCCUUGACUUCUCUGCCAGCGUGCUGCGCGUUUCCAGCCAGCAUCAGGGCAGGAACCCCUCUCCUGUCCCUGUCAGUUAUGGGCCUGCAUUAACACCAUUUUCAAGAUGGAGCUCCAUCAGCCACACCAUGGAAAAUCUGGAAGAUUGGUGAAGUGCAACCAGCACAAGCACCCUUUUCUCUGCAGCACCGCCACCCAGAGAUGAUUAUUGAUUCCAUUUGGGGAUACGUUUCAUUCAUUAAGG